UCCAGACUCCUACGGGAGGCAGCAGUGGGGAAUAUUGCACAAUGGGGGAAACCCUGAUGCAGCGACGCCGCGUGAGUGAAGAAGUAUUUCGGUAUGUAAAGCUCUAUCAGCAGGGAAGAAAUAGCGACCUUUGGGUCGCCAGACGGUACCUGAUUAAGAAGCCCCGGCUAACUACGUGCCAGCAGCCGCGGUAAUACGUAGGGGGCAAGCGUUAUCCGGAUUUAUUGGGUUUAAAGGGUGCGUAGGCGGGAUGCCAAGUCAGCGGUAAAAAUGCGGUGCUCAACGCCGUCGAGCCGUUGAAACUGGCGUUCUUGAGUGGGCGAGAAGUAUGCGGAAUGCGUGGUGUAGCGGUGAAAUGCAUAGAUAUCACGCAGAACUCCGAUUGCGAAGGCAGCAUACCGGCGCCCAACUGACGCUCAGGCACGAAAGCGUGGGUAUCGAACAGGAUUAGAUACCCUAGUA
Molecule: ribosomal RNA, 462 nt
Filed under: uncultured bacterium
Lineage: Bacteria
Description: bacterial SSU rRNA
Rfam family: Bacterial small subunit ribosomal RNA
Source: RNAcentral